RNAcentral lists this unclassified non-coding RNA (303 nucleotides) under uncultured Agaricostilbales. RNAcentral's name for it is "sequence contains 5.8S rRNA gene, ITS2, 28S rRNA gene". Lineage: Eukaryota; Fungi; Basidiomycota; Agaricostilbomycetes. The record is from RNAcentral.
AACGCACCUUGCGCUCUCGGGUUAUUCCUGGGAGCAUGCUUGUUUGAGUGUCGCGUACCUCUCAACCCCCCUUUUUGUAAUGAGAAGGCGUUAGGGCUUGGAUCGUGAUGCGUGCAGAGUUGCCCGCAACUUUGCUGCAUUGAAAUACAACAAGCUGAACUCUUAUACUUUGCGGCUUGACCCGUUGUUGUAAUGCUUCUAACACAAGCUUCAAUGGGAACGCGAAGAGAAGGAGACGAGCUUACCAAAUCAUACUUAGUGCAUUUUGACCUCAAAUCAAGCAGGACUACCCGCUGAACUUAA